UGGAAAGGCGCGCGAUACAGGGUGACAGCCCCGUACACAAAAAUGCACAUGCUGUGAGCUCGAUGAGUAGGGCGGGACACGUGGUAUCCUGUCUGAAUAUGGGGGGACCAUCCUCCAAGGCUAAAUACUCCUGACUGACCGAUAGUGAACCAGUACCGUGAGGGAAAGGCGAAAAGAACCCCGGCGAGGGGAGUGAAAAAGAACCUGAAACCGUGUACGUACAAGCAGUGGGAGCACGCUUAGGCGUGUGACUGCGUACCUUUUGUAUAAUGGGUCAGCGACUUAUAUUCUGUAGCAAGGUUAACCGAAUAGGGGAGCCGAAGGGAAACCGAGUCUUAACUGGGCGUUAAGUUGCAGGGUAUAGACCCGAAACCCGGUGAUCUAGCCAUGGGCAGGUUGAAGGUUGGGUAACACUAACUGGAGGACCGAACCGACUAAUGUUGAAAAAUUAGCGGAUGACUUGUGGCUGGGGGUGAAAGGCCAAUCAAACCGGGAGAUAGCUGGUUCUCCCCGAAAGCUAUUUAGGUAGCGCCUCGUGAAUUCAUCUCCGGGGGUAGAGCACUGUUUCGGCAAGGGGGUCAUCCCGACUUACCAACCCGAUGCAAACUGCGAAUACCGGAGAAUGUUAUCACGGGAGACACACGGCGGGUGCUAACGUCCGUCGUGAAGAGGGAAACAACCCAGACCGCCAGCUAAGGUCCCAAAGUCAUGGUUAAGUGGGAAACGAUGUGGGAAGGCCCAGACAGCCAGGAUGUUGGCUUAGAAGCAGCCAUCAUUUAAAGAAAGCGUAAUAGCUCACUGGUCGAGUCGGCCUGCGCGGAAGAUGUAACGGGGCUAAACCAUGCACCGAAGCUGCGGCAGCGACACUAUGUGUUGUUGGGUAGGGGAGCGUUCUGUAAGCCUGUGAAGGUGUGCUGUGAGGCAUGCUGGAGGUAUCAGAAGUGCGAAUGCUGACAUAAGUAACGAUAAAGCGGGUGAAAAGCCCGCUCGCCGGAAGACCAAGGGUUCCUGUCCAACGUUAAUCGGGGCAGGGUGAGUCGACCCCUAAGGCGAGGCCGAAAGGCGUAGUCGAUGGGAAACAGGUUAAUAUUCCUGUACUUGGUGUUACUGCGAAGGGGGGACGGAGAAGGCUAUGUUGGCCGGGCGACGGUUGUCCCGGUUUAAGCGUGUAGGCUGGUUUUCCAGGCAAAUCCGGAAAAUCAAGGCUGAGGCGUGAUGACGAGGCACUACGGUGCUGAAGCAACAAAUGCCCUGCU
Molecule: ribosomal RNA, 1256 nt
Filed under: Escherichia coli
Lineage: Bacteria; Pseudomonadati; Pseudomonadota; Gammaproteobacteria; Enterobacterales; Enterobacteriaceae
Description: partial 23S ribosomal RNA
Rfam family: Bacterial large subunit ribosomal RNA
Source: RNAcentral